RNAcentral lists this ribosomal RNA (472 nucleotides) under uncultured Pacispora. RNAcentral's name for it is "SSU rRNA". It matches the Rfam family "Eukaryotic small subunit ribosomal RNA", at positions 569 to 1044 of the family's 1831-position model. The record is from RNAcentral. Lineage: Eukaryota; Fungi; Glomeromycota; Glomeromycetes; Diversisporales; Pacisporaceae.
AGCAGCCGCGGUAAUUCCAGCUCCAAUAGCGUAUAUUAAAGUUGUUGCAGUUAAAAAGCUCGUAGUUGAAUUUCGGAAUUUUUUUAUCGGUUGAAUCAACAGGUUCGUACUGAUUUUAAGAAUUUCUACCUUCUGGAGAACCUUAAUGUCAUUUAUUUGGUGUUUUGGGAAACCAGGACUGUUACCUUGAAAAAUUAGAGUGUUUAAAGCAGGCUUAUGUCUGAAUAUAUUAGCAUGGAAUAAUGAAAUAGGACGGCAUGGUUCUAUUUUGUUGGUUUCUAGGAUCACCGUAAUGAUUAAUAGGGAUAGUUGGGGGCAUUAGUAUUCAAUUGUCAGAGGUGAAAUUCUUGGAUUUAUUGAAGACUAACUUCUGCGAAAGCAUUUGCCAAGGAUGUUUUCAUUAAUCAAGAACGAAAGUUAGGGGAUCGAAGACGAUCAGAUACCGUCGUAGUCUUAACCAUAAACUAUGCCG